GAUGAACGCUGGCGGCGUGCCUAAUACAUGCAAGUCGAGCGAACAGACGAGGAGCUUGCUCCUCUGACGUUAGCGGCGGACGGGUGAGUAACACGUGUAUAACCUACCUAUAAGACUGGGAUAACUUCGGGAAACCGGAGCUAAUACCGGAUAAUAUAUUGAACCGCAUGGUUCAAUAGUGAAAGACGGUUUUGCUGUCACUUAUAGAUGGAUCCGCGCCGCAUUAGCUAGUUGGUAAGGUAACGGCUUACCAAGGCAACGAUGCGUAGCCGACCUGAGAGGGUGAUCGGCCACACUGGAGCUGAGACACGGUCCAGACUCCUACGGGAGGCAGCAGUAGGGAAUCUUCCGCAAUGGGCGAAAGCCUGACGGAGCAACGCCGAGUGAGUGAUGAAGGUCUUCGGAUCGUAAAACUCUGUUAUUAGGGAAGAACAAAUGUGUAAGUAACUAUGCACGUCUUGACGGUACCUAAUCAGAAAGCAACGGCUAACUACGUG
RNAcentral lists this ribosomal RNA (497 nucleotides) under uncultured bacterium. Its description in RNAcentral is "partial 16S ribosomal RNA". It matches the Rfam family "Bacterial small subunit ribosomal RNA", at positions 28 to 507 of the family's 1533-position model. The record is from RNAcentral.